This 696-nucleotide ribosomal RNA is filed under the name uncultured bacterium. RNAcentral's name for it is "bacterial SSU rRNA". It matches the Rfam family "Bacterial small subunit ribosomal RNA", at positions 111 to 823 of the family's 1533-position model. The record is from RNAcentral.
UAACGCGUGAGUAACCUGCCUUUCAGAGGGGAAUAACGUUCUGAAAAGAACGCUAAUACCGCAUAACGUACAGUUACCGCAUGGUAGCAGUACCAAAGGAGCAAUCCGCUGAGAGAUGGACUCGCGUCCGAUUAGCUAGUUGGUGGGGUAAAGGCCUACCAAGGCGACGAUCGGUAGCCGGACUGAGAGGUUGAACGGCCACAUUGGGACUGAGACACGGCCCAGACUCCUACGGGAGGCAGCAGUGGGGGAUAUUGCACAAUGGGGGAAACCCUGAUGCAGCAACGCCGCGUGUGGGAAGAAGGUUUUCGGAUUGUAAACCACUGUUCUUGGUGAAGAUAAUGACGGUAACCAAGGAGAAAGCUCCGGCUAACUACGUGCCAGCAGCCGCGGUAAUACGUAGGGAGCAAGCGUUGUCCGGAUUUACUGGGUGUAAAGGGUGCGUAGGCGGCUAGGCAAGUCAGACGUGAAAACCAUGGGCUCAACCUGUGGACUGCGUUUGAAACUGUUUAGCUUGAGUGAAGUAGAGGUAGGCGGAAUUCCCGGUGUAGCGGUGAAAUGCGUAGAGAUCGGGAGGAACACCAGUGGCGAAGGCGGCCUACUGGGCUUUAACUGACGCUGAGGCACGAAAGCAUGGGUAGCAAACAGGAUUAGAUACCCUGGUAGUCCAUGCCGUAAACGAUGAUUACUAGGUGU